GGAUAACGUUUGGAAACGAACGCUAAUACCGCAUGAUAUUAUUGAGCUGCAUGGCUUGAUAAUCAAAGGAGCAAUCCGCUGAAAGAUGGGCUCGCGUCCGAUUAGGUAGUUGGCGGGGCAACGGCCCACCAAGCCGACGAUCGGUAGCCGGACUGAGAGGUUGAACGGCCACAUUGGGACUGAGACACGGCCCAGACUCCUACGGGAGGCAGCAGUGAGGGAUAUUGGUCAAUGGGGGAAACCCUGAACCAGCAACGCCGCGUGAGGGAAGACGGUUUUCGGAUUGUAAACCUCUGUCCUCUGUGAAGAUAAUGACGGUAGCAGAGGAGGAAGCUCCGGCUAACUACGUGCCAGCAGCCGCGGUAAUACGUAGGGAGCAAGCGUUGUCCGGAUUUACUGGGUGUAAAGGGUGCGUAGGCGGCUUUGCAAGUCAGAAGUGAAAUCCAUGGGCUUAACCCAUGAACUGCUUUUGAAACUGCAGAGCUUGAGUGGAGUAGAGGUAGGCGGAAUUCCCGGUGUAGCGGUGAAAUGCGUAGAGAUCGGGAGGAACACCAGUGGCGAAGGCGGCCUGCUGGGCUCUAACUGACGCUGAGGCACGAAAGCGUGGGUAGCAAACAGGAUUAGAUACCCUGGUAGUCCACGCUGUAAACGAUGAUAAGUAGGUGUGGGUGGACUGACCCCAUCCGUGCCGGAG
Molecule: ribosomal RNA, 694 nt
Filed under: uncultured bacterium
Lineage: Bacteria
Description: bacterial SSU rRNA
Rfam family: Bacterial small subunit ribosomal RNA
Source: RNAcentral